CUCUUAUCCGGAGUGGUGGAGGGACUGGCCCGAUGAAACCCGGCAACCAGCUUGUAGUACCCUGUAACAGGGACAUUUGAGUAUGGUGCUAAUUCCUGCAGAAGAUAUCUUCUGACAGAUAAGAG
RNAcentral lists this non-coding RNA (125 nucleotides) under Desulfitobacterium metallireducens. RNAcentral describes it as "SAM-I sequence". It matches the Rfam family "SAM riboswitch aptamer (S box leader)". Rfam says of the family: The SAM riboswitch is found upstream of a number of genes which code for proteins involved in methionine or cysteine biosynthesis in Gram-positive bacteria. The SAM riboswitch acts at the level of transcription termination control. The predicted structure consists of a complex stem-loop region followed by a single stem loop terminator region. The record is from RNAcentral. RNAcentral also lists the same sequence under 1 other name. Lineage: Bacteria; Bacillati; Bacillota; Clostridia; Eubacteriales; Desulfitobacteriaceae.